This 450-nucleotide ribosomal RNA is filed under the name Salmonella enterica. Its description in RNAcentral is "partial 23S ribosomal RNA". It matches the Rfam family "Bacterial large subunit ribosomal RNA", at positions 199 to 688 of the family's 2925-position model. Lineage: Bacteria; Pseudomonadati; Pseudomonadota; Gammaproteobacteria; Enterobacterales; Enterobacteriaceae. The record is from RNAcentral.
CAUCUAAGUACCCCGAGGAAAAGAAAUCAACCGAGAUUCCCCCAGUAGCGGCGAGCGAACGGGGAGGAGCCCAGAGCCUGAAUCAGCAUGUGUGUUAGUGGAAGCGUCUGGAAAGGCGCGCGAUACAGGGUGACAGCCCCGUACACAAAAGCGCAUGUGCUGUGAGCUCGAUGAGUAGGGCGGGACACGUGGUAUCCUGUCUGAAUAUGGGGGGACCAUCCUCCAAGGCUAAAUACUCCUGACUGACCGAUAGUGAACCAGUACCGUGAGGGAAAGGCGAAAAGAACCCCGGCGAGGGGAGUGAAAAAGAACCUGAAACCGUGUACGUACAAGCAGUGGGAGCACAGGUUUACCUGUGUGACUGCGUACCUUUUGUAUAAUGGGUCAGCGACUUAUAUUCUGUAGCAAGGUUAACCGAAUAGGGGAGCCGGAGGGAAACCGAGUCUUAAC